This 70-nucleotide small RNA is filed under the name Salmonella enterica subsp. enterica serovar Stanleyville. RNAcentral's name for it is "partial RtT sRNA". It matches the Rfam family "RtT RNA", at positions 1 to 69 of the family's 130-position model. From Rfam's summary of the family: This family represents a bacterial cis-regulatory element known as RtT RNA. The exact function of RtT is unknown although it is thought that it may be involved in changing the cellular response in relation to amino acid starvation. The record is from RNAcentral. Lineage: Bacteria; Pseudomonadati; Pseudomonadota; Gammaproteobacteria; Enterobacterales; Enterobacteriaceae.
AUAUCUCUCCGUACGGGAAGGAUGAGAAGCUUCGACUAAGGUUCGAUUCGAGCGUCAGCGAGAAAGCGUU